GCCCCAAUAGCUCAGUUGGAUAGAGCGCUUGCCUCCGAAGCAAGAGGCCGCAGGUUCGAGUCCUGCUUGGGGCA
RNAcentral lists this transfer RNA (74 nucleotides) under Candidatus Omnitrophota bacterium. RNAcentral describes it as "Candidatus Omnitrophica bacterium (groundwater metagenome) tRNA-Arg". It matches the Rfam family "tRNA". From Rfam's summary of the family: Transfer RNA (tRNA) molecules are approximately 80 nucleotides in length. Their secondary structure includes four short double-helical elements and three loops (D, anti-codon, and T loops). The record is from RNAcentral. Lineage: Bacteria; Pseudomonadati; Candidatus Omnitrophota.